CGUUGGGCAGAAAAUAAAAAUAAUGCAGUAUAACUGAUGAGGUAAACAAUUAUAAUAUUGAUAUCAUCAACGUUGGUUAGAAAAUAACAAUAUUAUAAAAUUUUCUAAAAGUGUUAAUUUUGCCCGAAAUUAAAUUCGCCCGUUGGUUUGAAUUUAAUUUAGGAGCAACUAAAAUUACUAAGCAGCGGAAAACGUGAAAUAAAGUGUACUAAUAAUUUCCAGAAAUGUAUCUAAUAUUUUCUGAAAAAUUUAUCACGUUGGAUCAAAAUUUAACAGAAAUUUAAACUAAUACUGAAACUAAUAAAAAAAUAAUACUAAAACAGUUUCUGGAAAAAAGAAAAAACGAAUUACUGGGCUAAUUGGUCUAAUGAAACAAAAUAGCUCCUGAAACGGCCCAGCAGGCUAAAAAUUGCCGGCUACGGCUGAUCUUAGUGGGCCGGCACGUAGGUGUUUUUUUUUUGCUAAUUCAGCUUUUUGAAAAAUGGAAAAACAUUUCCAUGGCCAAACCGGCCAAGGGGAGAAUCACCUACCUUGCCGGCCUUCUUAGCCCGCCGGCAGCGGCUUUGAUACCAUUGAUAGAACUAAUAAAACAUAACCGGAUCUACUAACCAGGGAAUUAGUCGGGCAUAUUCUAAUACAAGUAAAUAAUGGAGUGUUUCGAGAACCUAAUACAAGAUCUAGGUGCACAUAACGUAGAGGAGGUUAGGGUAAAACACAGACCAUCCGUAUUGGGACCAGAAGGGCCGGGAUCCGCCAUCAGUGGCGGGCGUAGUCGUACGGUGCCGCCUUUCGCCGGAGGUGUUGAAGAAGGCGACGGGUCGUAGCGCGGCGGCGGUCGAACUUCCCGUCACUGCCUGCGACCCUC
Molecule: long non-coding RNA, 865 nt
Filed under: Sorghum bicolor (sorghum)
Lineage: Eukaryota; Viridiplantae; Streptophyta; Magnoliopsida; Poales; Poaceae
Description: long non-coding RNA (SBIC_LNC018021)
Source: RNAcentral